This 510-nucleotide ribosomal RNA is filed under the name uncultured bacterium. RNAcentral describes it as "partial 16S ribosomal RNA". It matches the Rfam family "Bacterial small subunit ribosomal RNA", at positions 28 to 507 of the family's 1533-position model. The record is from RNAcentral.
GACGAACGCUGGCGGCGUGCUUAACACAUGCCAGUCGAACGAAGAGCGAUGGAAGCUUGCUUCUAUCAAUCUUAGUGGCGAACGGGUGGGUAACGCGUAAUCAACCUGCCCUUCAGAGGGGGACAACAGUUGGAAACGACUGCUAAUACCGCAUACGAUCUAACCUCGGCAUCGAGGAUAGAUGAAAGGUGGCCUCUACAUGUAAGCUAUCACUGAAGGAGGGGAUUGCGUCUGAUUAGCUAGUUGGAGGGGUAACGGCCCACCAAGGCGAUGAUCAGUAGCCGGUCUGAGAGGAUGAACGGCCACAUUGGGACUGAGACACGGCCCAGACUCCUACGGGAGGCAGCAGUGGGGAAUCUUCCGCAAUGGACGAAAGUCUGACGGAGCAACGCCGCGUGAGUGAUGACGGCCUUCGGGUUGUAAAGCUCUGUUAAUCGGGACGAAAGGCCUUCUUGCGAAUAGUUAGAAGGAUUGACGGUACCGGAAUAGAAAGCCACGGCUAACUACGUG